This 65-nucleotide transfer RNA is filed under the name Cardiochiles fuscipennis. Its description in RNAcentral is "tRNA-Pro". Lineage: Eukaryota; Metazoa; Arthropoda; Insecta; Hymenoptera; Braconidae. The record is from RNAcentral.
CAAAAAAUAGUUUAAUUAAAAUUUUAAUUUUGGAGAUUAAGGAUAUAAAAUUUUUAUUUUUUUGA